UGUCUAUUAANUGUAGNCUAGUAUGAAAGGCCACAUGAGAGCCAAACUGUCUCUUAUAAUAAAUCAAUUAAACUGAUCUUCUAGUACAAAAGCUAGAAUAACUAUAUAAGACCAGAAGACCCUGUGAAGCUUAAACUAAACUAUUAAACCUACUAAUAGCUAAUUUCGGUUGGGGCGACCUUGGAACAAAACAAAACUUCCAAACAAAAUGAGCCUUACCUCAUAACCAUAGGCCAACAAGCCAACCAACGACCCAGUAUAACUGAUCACUGAACCAAGUUACUCCAGGGAUAACAGCGCUAUCUUCUUCAAGAGCCCAUAUCAAAAAGAAGGUUUACGACCUCGAUGUUGGAUCAGGACACCCAAAUGGUGUAGCCGCUAUUAACGGUUCGUUUGUNCANCGAUUAACAGU
RNAcentral lists this ribosomal RNA (412 nucleotides) under Boa constrictor (boa). Its description in RNAcentral is "partial 16S ribosomal RNA". It matches the Rfam family "Bacterial large subunit ribosomal RNA", at positions 1970 to 2594 of the family's 2925-position model. Lineage: Eukaryota; Metazoa; Chordata; Lepidosauria; Squamata; Boidae. The record is from RNAcentral.